CAAAUACAAAUACAAAGCGAUGGGCACUCGCGGAAUAGUGCAAACGUAGGUAAUGGGAUUAUGUGUCGUUACGGGUAGAUGGUCGCUUUUUCCAUCCGAGAAAAUCCCCACCGUCGUUCAACUCGAAUGCGUCUAAACAAGGUCAGCAGAAAUAAUGGUUCCCACUAGGCUUCCGAAUGAUGUUGGAUGAGAAGGAGAAUUUGAAAAUUGGAUCGUUGAAAACUGCUUCCAGAUGUUCUAAAGAUAUGCCGUUUCGGAAAUCAAAAAGUAUCGCUUGUCAGCGGCCGGCGUUUACAUCAAUGACAGAACUCAGCGUAAUCUGGUAGCUUUGGUGCACGUACCAAAGAGCUAUCAUGAUCUCAAAAUGGAUCGAAGUGGAGGAGACUGGUACAUUUUCAAUGAUUUUAGUAUUUCCCCGGUGUCCGUGCAGGAAGCGGUUUGGUUUACAUUGGAUUGGAAGGUGCCAUGCGUUCUGUUUUACACCAGUACCGUACUCAAGAACGAACAAGGAGAGAACGAGAAAUGUUUGACUCAGUACGUAAAUCCAUUCACAAAUGAUCUGUUACCGAACCAAACUCUGGUGCCCAGAAAAUUCUCAAUUUUUACCAUAAUAUCCAUUGACGCAAACACAUUCAUGUCCCAUUUGUCUAGUCGAACACAGACCGUUCAGGCAAAGUGAGUUAGCGCAGAAAUCAACCUUAAUCUUACAAAGUCGCCCCAUGUAAUCCGGUUUACAGUUGGAGUGAUAGUCAUUCACAAGUUAAACGCAGUCCAGCGUUCCUAGAUAUGAGCAUGAAUUCGAAAGACACUCGUUGAUGGCUUCUUCGCACCGUG
Long non-coding RNA from Topomyia yanbarensis, 834 nucleotides. RefSeq lists it as uncharacterized. The transcript is spliced from 3 exons. The record is from RefSeq and is a predicted model, not a curated record. NCBI's taxonomy places the organism in Eukaryota, Metazoa, Arthropoda, Insecta, Diptera, Culicidae.